UACGGGGGGGGCAAGCGUUGUUCGGAAUUACUGGGCGUAAAGGGCUCGUAGGCGGCCAACUAAGUCGGAUGUGAAAUCCCCAGGCUUAACCUGGGAACUGCAUCCGAUACUGGAUGGCUUGAAUCCGGGAGAGGGAUGCAGAAUUCCAGGUGUAGCGGUGAAAUGCGUAGAUAUCUGGAGGAACACCGGUGGCGAAGGCGGCAUUCUGGACUGUAACUGACACUGAGGAACGAAAGCCAGGGGAGCAAACGGG
This 253-nucleotide ribosomal RNA is filed under the name uncultured bacterium. RNAcentral describes it as "partial 16S ribosomal RNA". It matches the Rfam family "Bacterial small subunit ribosomal RNA", at positions 524 to 776 of the family's 1533-position model. The record is from RNAcentral.